RNAcentral lists this long non-coding RNA (451 nucleotides) under Equus asinus (donkey). Its description in RNAcentral is "lncRNA (ENSEASG00005030408.1)". The record is from RNAcentral. Lineage: Eukaryota; Metazoa; Chordata; Mammalia; Perissodactyla; Equidae.
UCUGUUUACAGAAUCCAAGCACUGGCCACAACCACGUGGGUUACUCCGUGUUCAGAGCUGAAUACGGCUUUUUCAGUUGUGCCCUCUUCCUGAAUCCAUCUGUGGUGUCAACCAGUCAUGGAUGCAGGAGACUCUGAACUUAAGCCCAGCAGCACCACACCAAGCAUCAGGAAGAAGACAGAUGAAUACCUAAAACCCACCGUGGUUUCCAAAAACGUGGUGAGCUUUUUACUCGGUAGGCAGCUGGGGAGGCACAGAAGUGAUGUGGAUCUGUCAAAGUGGCUGUGGAUGCUGACAAGAGACAUGCCAGGGUGGAGGUGGCCUUUGCCAAAAAAUCAUGUGACUUACCUGCUUAUGCCUGCCAAUAAUUUUGGAAAAUGCAAAAAAAAAAAUGUUUAAAAUAAACUUAUGCCUUAUCUCAGCUGUUAAAAUAAAAGCUGUGUAUUCAGUC